GACGAACGCUGGCGGCGUGCUUAACACAUGCAAGUCAGGGGUGGGGCGAACCCAUCACCGGCGAACGGGUGCGUAACACGUGAGCGACCUGCCCUGGUGUGGGGGAGUAGCCGGCCCAACGGCCGGGUAAUACCGCAUACGACUUUCUGGAGGCAUCUCCGGGGAGGUGAAGCCAUUUGGGUCGACCAGGAGGGGCGUCGCGGCCUAUCAGCUAGUUGGCGAGGUAACGGCUCACCAAGGCGACGACGGGUA
RNAcentral lists this ribosomal RNA (252 nucleotides) under uncultured bacterium. RNAcentral describes it as "partial 16S ribosomal RNA". It matches the Rfam family "Bacterial small subunit ribosomal RNA", at positions 28 to 285 of the family's 1533-position model. The record is from RNAcentral.